RNAcentral lists this ribosomal RNA (233 nucleotides) under uncultured bacterium. RNAcentral's name for it is "partial 16S ribosomal RNA". It matches the Rfam family "Bacterial small subunit ribosomal RNA", at positions 100 to 334 of the family's 1533-position model. The record is from RNAcentral.
CGGGACGGGUGAGUAAUGUCUGGGAAACUGCCCGAUGGGGGGGGAUAACUACUGGAAACGGUAGCUAAUACCGCAUAACGUCGCAAGACCAAAGAGGGGGACCUUAGGGCCUCUUGCCAUCGGAUGUGCCCAGAUGGGAUUAGCUAGUAGGUGGGGUAAUGGCUCACCUAGGCGACGAUCCCUAGCUGGUCUGAGAGGAUGACCAGCCACACUGGAACUGAGACACGGUCCAG